RNAcentral lists this ribosomal RNA (296 nucleotides) under bacterium endosymbiont of Otiorhynchus rugosostriatus. Its description in RNAcentral is "partial 16S ribosomal RNA". It matches the Rfam family "Bacterial small subunit ribosomal RNA", at positions 30 to 336 of the family's 1533-position model. The record is from RNAcentral.
AUUGAACGCUGGCGGCAUGCCUAACACAUGCAAGUCGAACGGGAGUAGCAAUACUCUAGUGGCGGACGGGUGAGGAAUACGUAGGAAUUUGCCCUUAAGUGGGGGAUAACCCGGGGAAACCCGGAUUAAUACCGCAUGAUCUCGAAAGAGCAAAGUGGGGGAUCGCAAGACCUCACGCUUUUGGAGAAGCCUACGUCGGAUUAGCUAGUUGGUGAGGUAAUGGCUCACCAAGGCGACGAUCCGUAACUGGUCUGAGAGGAUGAUCAGUCACACCGGAACUGAGACACGGUCCGGAC